GAUGAACGCUGGCGGCGUGCCUAAUACAUGCAAGUCGAGCGAACAGACGAGGAGCUUGCUCCUCUGACGUUAGCGGCGGACGGGUGAGUAACACGUGGAUAACCUACCUAUAAGACUGGGAUAACUUCGGGAAACCGGAGCUAAUACCGGAUAACAUGUUGAACCGCAUGGUUCAACAGUGAAAGACGGUUUUGCUGUCACUUAUAGAUGGAUCCGCGUCGCAUUAGCUAGUUGGUAAGGUAACGGCUUACCAAGGCAACGAUGCGUAGCCGACCUGAGAGGGUGAUCGGCCACACUGGAACUGGGACACGGUCCAGACUCCUACGGGAGGCAGCAGUAGGGAAUCUUCCGCAAUGGGCGAAAGCCUGACGGAGCAACGCCGCGUGAGUGAAGAAGGUCUUCGGAUCGUAAAACUCUGUUAUUAGGGAAGAACAAAUGUGUAAGUAACUAUGCACGUCUUGACGGUACCUAAUCAGAAAGCCACGGCUAACUACGUG
Molecule: ribosomal RNA, 497 nt
Filed under: uncultured bacterium
Lineage: Bacteria
Description: partial 16S ribosomal RNA
Rfam family: Bacterial small subunit ribosomal RNA
Source: RNAcentral